Molecule: long non-coding RNA, 466 nt
Filed under: Rattus norvegicus (Norway rat)
Lineage: Eukaryota; Metazoa; Chordata; Mammalia; Rodentia; Muridae
Description: long non-coding RNA NONRATT031313
Source: RNAcentral
GGCCUUUUAUGUUUUUUUCUCAUUCUUCUGGGGAGGAAUUAUUUGGCCUUUUCUGAAACAACAGAGAAUGUAUUUUGUGUUUGCUCAAAUGCUCUCUUCUGUAUCUACAUGGUUGGCUAUAAUUCUUUUAAUAUUUAUCAGCCUUUUCCCCGAGAUUCUCCUAAUAGUAGUAAAGAAUGUGCGAAGAAGGAGUGCCAGGAGAAAUCUGAGCUGUAGAAGGGCAUCUGACUCAUUAUCCGCCAGACCUUCAGUCAGACCUCUUCUUUUACGAACAUUCUCAGACGAAUCUAAUAUAUUGUAACAGAAUCCGAAUCUUGAACUGCCUAUGUUAUUGUCCUACAAGCAUAUUGACCGUGGUUGCAGCUAAAGAAAGAAAGCAUGAAGGAAGAGCUACAGAAGAUAUUAACUCAGGAUACUCAAUGUGAAACAGAAACCACUCUCAUGUGUAGGCUUCAGAAUAAAUGGU